UGCACUCGCACGCACGCACGCACGCACGCACGCACGCACGCACGCACGCACGCACCCACGCACCCACGCAUCCACGUACGCACGUCAAACAUCCAAACGCCGUCCUGUCUGGGUUCAUAACAUCACCUGGCGUUGUUUCACUUGAUCUAGCAUUUCACACGUCUGGUGAAUUAAUCAAGAUAAGAUCAGAUGAACCUUUAUUAAUCCCUGGAGAGGUAAAGGUAUACAAACAUUAUAAAAACAAUAAUAGAUAUAACAGAUACAGAGUGAAUGGGUGAACAUAGUGUGUUCAGUCUAUAAAGUGUUAUACAGUGUAAAGUGCGCCAGUGGUUAGAGUCCCAGAUGGUUGCAGAUAGUGCAUGUUAACAGUUCUUAAAGUCCUCUUGUCAUAUGGGGGUCAGCCUUGGUUGUGGAGCCUGAUGGCUACCAGCAUGAAGGACUAACCAGGAUGAAGGACCGACCCAGCAUGAAGGACUGACCAGGAUGAAGGUCUGACCAGCAUGAAGGACUGACCAGCAUGAAGGACUGACCAGGAUGAAGGUCUGACCAGCAUGAAGGUCUGACCAGCAUGAAGGUCUGACCAGCAUGAAGGUCUGACCAGCAUGAAGGUCUGACCAGGAUGAAGGACCGACCCAGCAUGAAGGACUGAACCAGCAUGAAGGACCGACCCAGCAUGAAGGACCGACCCAGCAUGAAGGACUGACCCAGCAUGAAGGACUGACCAGCAUGAAGGUCUGACCAGCAUGAAGGUCUGACCAGGAUGAAGGACCGACCCAGCAUGAAGGACUGAACCAGCAUGAAGGACCGACCCAGCAUGAAGGACCGACCCAGCAUGAAGGACUGACCCAGCAUGAAGGACUGACCAGGAUGAAGGACUGACCAGGAUGGACUGACCAGCAUGAAGGACUGACCAGGAUGAAGGACUGACCAGGAUGAAGGACUGACCAGCAUGAAGGACUGACCAGGAUGAAGGACUGACCAGGAUGAAGGACUGACCAG
Long non-coding RNA from Sebastes umbrosus (honeycomb rockfish), 999 nucleotides. RefSeq lists it as uncharacterized. NCBI's taxonomy places the organism in Eukaryota, Metazoa, Chordata, Actinopteri, Perciformes, Sebastidae. The transcript is spliced from 2 exons. The record is from RefSeq and is a predicted model, not a curated record.